Molecule: ribosomal RNA, 717 nt
Filed under: uncultured cyanobacterium
Lineage: Bacteria; Bacillati; Cyanobacteriota
Description: bacterial SSU rRNA
Rfam family: Bacterial small subunit ribosomal RNA
Source: RNAcentral
CGGACGGGUGAGUAACGCGUGAGUGAUCUGCCUCUGAGUGGGGGAUAACCUUCCGAAAGGGGGGCUAAUACCGCAUGACAUCCUGUUCUUGGAUGAACGGUGAUCGAAGCUAGGGACCGCAAGGCCUGGCGCUUGGAGAGGAGCCCGCGUCCGAUUAGCUAGUUGGUGGGGUAAUGGCCUACCAAGGCGACGAUCGGUAGCCGGCCUGAGAGGGCGGACGGCCACACUGGGACUGAGACACGGCCCAGACUCCUACGGGAGGCAGCAGUGGGGAAUUGUUCGCAAUGGGCGCAAGCCUGACGACGCAACGCCGCGUGGGGGAUGAAGGUCUUCGGAUUGUAAACCCCUGUUGGGUGGGACGAACAUCGUCGAGGUGAAUAGCCUAGACGACUGACGGUACCACCUGAGGAAGCCCCGGCUAACUCUGUGCCAGCAGCCGCGGUAAUACAGAGGGGGCAAGCGUUGUUCGGAAUUACUGGGCGUAAAGGGCGCGUAGGCGGCCUGUUAAGUCGGACGUGAAAUCCCUCGGCUCAACCGGGGAACUGCGUCUGAUACUGGCGGGCUUGAGUUCGGGAGAGGGAUGUGGAAUUCCAGGUGUAGCGGUGAAAUGCGUAGAUAUCUGGAGGAACACCGGUGGCGAAGGCGGCAUCCUGGACCGACACUGACGCUGAGGCGCGAAAGCCAGGGGAGCAAAUGGGAUUAGAUACCCCAGUAGUC